This 517-nucleotide long non-coding RNA is filed under the name Olea europaea (common olive). RNAcentral describes it as "long non-coding RNA (OEUR_LNC013566)". Lineage: Eukaryota; Viridiplantae; Streptophyta; Magnoliopsida; Lamiales; Oleaceae. The record is from RNAcentral.
UUGUGAAUUUAGAAAAGGGUUGCAACUUGCACCAAUAUCCAUCUUCAGAUUUGCUGAUUUUCCUCCAAAGAAGAGCCAUCAAAAGUCGCCGAAAACAAAGAGUAUGUCUGUAUGUGUCCGGUGUUCCCUGAGGCCUUAACCACUAUUUUUUUGUAAGCAAUGUUUUUCAUUUUUCAAUAAUGCUGCUGUUUUGAGGUUUUGGGGUUUGUUGAUCUGACAUGGUAAUUUCGAAAUUGAAAUUUUGAAUGGGCACACCGCAAAUUGAAUAAUUGAUACCCUGAUUGACGUCACAGUAGCAUUUGCCAUGAUACACAUUUGACUUGAAUUGUUGUUCUUAUUUUUGUUAAAUUGGAUGGAAAAAUAUCAAGAAAAUUUGGGUGUUGCCCAGCUGGAUUUGGAGAAGAUGGCUUCUUGUCUCCUUCACUACUUGACUGUUUGUUUAAAAGGUUGCCUAGGUAUAUAGGUCAGCUACAUGAUUAUUGGAUAUGCUGAUUUUGGUUAUUUUAGAAAAAAAAUU